This 207-nucleotide ribosomal RNA is filed under the name uncultured bacterium. Its description in RNAcentral is "partial 16S ribosomal RNA". It matches the Rfam family "Bacterial small subunit ribosomal RNA", at positions 568 to 774 of the family's 1533-position model. The record is from RNAcentral.
CGCGUAGGCGGUUCGUUAAGUCGGAUGUGAAAACUCUGGGCUCAACCCAGAGCCUGCAUCCGAUACUGGCGGACUAGAGUGCGAGAGGGGAAGGCGGAAUUCCUGGUGUAGCGGUGAAAUGCGUAGAUAUCAGGAGGAACACCGGCGGCGAAGGCGGCCUUCUGGAUCGCAACUGACGCUGAGGCGCGAAAGCUAGGGGAGCAAACA